UCCGAAGGGGGCUAGCGUUGCUCGGAAUCACUGGGCGUAAAGGGUGCGUAGGCGGGUCUUUAAGUCAGGGGUGAAAUCCUGGAGCUCAACUCCAGAACUGCCUUUGAUACUGAAGAUCUUGAGUUCGGGAGAGGUGAGUGGAACUGCGAGUGUAGAGGUGAAAUUCGUAGAUAUUCGCAAGAACACCAGUGGCGAAGGCGGCCAACUGGACCACAACUGACGCUGAGGCGCGAAAGCGUGGGGAGCAAACAGG
RNAcentral lists this ribosomal RNA (253 nucleotides) under uncultured bacterium. RNAcentral describes it as "partial 16S ribosomal RNA". It matches the Rfam family "Bacterial small subunit ribosomal RNA", at positions 524 to 776 of the family's 1533-position model. The record is from RNAcentral.